GGGGCUGUGGCUAAGUGGUAGAGCGCUCGCCUAGCAUGUGUGAGGCGCCAGGUUUGAGCCUCAGCACCA
RNAcentral lists this transfer RNA (69 nucleotides) under Marmota monax (woodchuck). It matches the Rfam family "tRNA". Rfam says of the family: Transfer RNA (tRNA) molecules are approximately 80 nucleotides in length. Lineage: Eukaryota; Metazoa; Chordata; Mammalia; Rodentia; Sciuridae. The record is from Rfam by way of RNAcentral.